GCCUGGGUGGCUCAGUUGGUUGAGCGUCUGCCUUCAGCUCAGGUCAUGAUCCAAGGGACCUGGGAUCAAGUCCCACAUCAGGCU
RNAcentral lists this transfer RNA (84 nucleotides) under Mustela putorius furo (domestic ferret). It matches the Rfam family "tRNA". Rfam says of the family: Transfer RNA (tRNA) molecules are approximately 80 nucleotides in length. Their secondary structure includes four short double-helical elements and three loops (D, anti-codon, and T loops). The record is from Rfam by way of RNAcentral. Lineage: Eukaryota; Metazoa; Chordata; Mammalia; Carnivora; Mustelidae.